This 93-nucleotide transfer RNA is filed under the name Hortaea werneckii. RNAcentral's name for it is "tRNA-Asn". It matches the Rfam family "tRNA". From Rfam's summary of the family: Transfer RNA (tRNA) molecules are approximately 80 nucleotides in length. RNAcentral also lists the same sequence under 1 other name. The record is from RNAcentral. Lineage: Eukaryota; Fungi; Ascomycota; Dothideomycetes; Mycosphaerellales; Teratosphaeriaceae.
UCCCCUGUGGCACAAUUGGCUAGCGCGUUCGGCUGUUAACUCUCCAAUGGAAGGGUAACCGGAAGGUUGGUGGUUCGAGCCCACCCGGGGGAG